Long non-coding RNA from Camelus dromedarius (Arabian camel), 426 nucleotides. RefSeq lists it as uncharacterized. The record is from RefSeq and is a predicted model, not a curated record. NCBI's taxonomy places the organism in Eukaryota, Metazoa, Chordata, Mammalia, Artiodactyla, Camelidae. The transcript is spliced from 3 exons.
UGCAGCCUAAUUAGCAGGCGGCGCCUGCGGGGAGCAGGAAGCAGACGUCUGAGCCAGCCCUUCCCGAGCGGGGGAGAGUGGAGGGCUGAUGCGGCGCACAGCUAGCAGGUGGAGGGAAGCACAGACCCUCCCUCUCGGAGGAGCUUGAGGCUCUGCCCUGGGUUGCUUCUUGAGGACCGCGGUUGAACGAGCCAAGUCUGAGCAUCGCAGAAUCCUGACACACCUGGAAAGGACCUACGGGAUGAUCUAGCCCACCCCUGCAUCAUGCAUGUGAGCACCAAGGCUCAGAGAAGUUGACUAUUGUGCCUGAGAUCACACAGUUAUUAGUGGAGGGGCUAGGCCCGGAACCCAGGCUUUUCUGACACCCAGCUCCGUGCUCAGUGCUCAGUCCACCAGCCCACGCUCCUCCAUCCGCAUGUCCAGCCC